CGCGGGGUAGCGCAGCGGUAGAGCAGUAGACUCAUAAUCUACAGGUCGGCGGUUCGAUUCCGCCCCCCGCAA
Molecule: transfer RNA, 72 nt
Rfam family: tRNA
About the family: Transfer RNA (tRNA) molecules are approximately 80 nucleotides in length. Their secondary structure includes four short double-helical elements and three loops (D, anti-codon, and T loops).